Non-coding RNA from Nematostella vectensis (starlet sea anemone), 73 nucleotides. The record is from Rfam. Lineage: Eukaryota; Metazoa; Cnidaria; Anthozoa; Actiniaria; Edwardsiidae.
GCAGAUGAUGAGACAGAAUACAUGAAUAGGAAUUGCCGUCAGAUCGACAAAUGACGAAACAUAGUCUCUGAUG